CCUACGGGUGGCUGCAGUGGGGAAUAUUGGACAAUGGGCGAAAGCCUGAUCCAGCCAUGCCGCGUGUGUGAAGAAGGCCUUCGGGUUGUAAAGCACUUUCAGUGGGGAAGAAAGCCUUGGGGCUAAUACCCUCGAGGAAGGACAUCACCCACAGAAGAAGCACCGGCUAACUCCGUGCCAGCAGCCGCGGUAAUACGGAGGGUGCGAGCGUUAAUCGGAAUUACUGGGCGUAAAGCGCGCGUAGGCGGUCUGAUAAGCCGGUUGUGAAAGCCCCGGGCUCAACCUGGGAACGGCAUCCGGAACUGUCAGGCUAGAGUGCAGGAGAGGAAGGUAGAUUUCCCGGUGUAGCGGUGAAAUGCGUAGAGAUCGGGAGGAAUACCAGUGGCGAAGGCGGCCUUCUGGACUGACACUGACGCUGAGGUGCGAAAGCGUGGGUAGCAAACAGGAUUAGAUACCCGUGUAGUC
This 465-nucleotide ribosomal RNA is filed under the name Vreelandella stevensii. Its description in RNAcentral is "partial 16S ribosomal RNA". It matches the Rfam family "Bacterial small subunit ribosomal RNA", at positions 338 to 795 of the family's 1533-position model. Lineage: Bacteria; Pseudomonadati; Pseudomonadota; Gammaproteobacteria; Oceanospirillales; Halomonadaceae. The record is from RNAcentral.